This is a long non-coding RNA of Xyrauchen texanus (razorback sucker), 572 nucleotides long. RefSeq lists it as uncharacterized. The transcript has 3 exons. Lineage: Eukaryota; Metazoa; Chordata; Actinopteri; Cypriniformes; Catostomidae. The record is from RefSeq and is a predicted model, not a curated record.
GGAGGAACACGGAACUGGGAACACACGGCUGGAAUGAACACGGGAAGACGGGCAAGGAUGACGUACAUCUCACUUCCACCAGAGGGCUGUUGUUGUAUUGUAACACCUCUAGGUAAUAUACAUCAACAGACAAAAGAAAACAAUGCUCGUCAAAACACUUCAUGGUGACUUUAAGUUGAAGUCUGAACCAAGACCCAAGACCUUGUACCCAAGACCAUGUGGCCCGACCCAACCACCACAGUUUUAAGCACAAACCCUACCCAACCCCAAAAUUGCUCACUGUCUUUAUAAUUUUUUUCUCCAAGCAAGUAAAUUUGUUGCAAUAUGCUGUAUUAUAUUUAAGCUGUGUAGACAACAUUUGUAAUAGUAUAGUAACAGUAAACAUACACAGUUUUAACAAGACAUGACAGCUUCUUAGCACACCACAGUAAAGGGGAAAAAACAUUAGCUGUACCCCAAAUGACACACUAUGCACUGUGCACUUACACUGUACACUAUGCAAUCUGCAAUCUAGUUUAUUAAUUUUCAAAGUGUAGUAUUGUCCCGAAUGGAAAAAAUUUUUUUACUACAUG